Vicugna pacos (alpaca) is the source of this 6228-nucleotide RNA transcript. It is a transcript of the gene named serine/threonine kinase 35, with no coding region annotated. Lineage: Eukaryota; Metazoa; Chordata; Mammalia; Artiodactyla; Camelidae. The record is from RefSeq and is a predicted model, not a curated record.
CCCCGGCGGCGCGGUACUCGGCCUACCUCCCGGGAGAUGGGACACCAGGAGCCCCCGCGGGCCCGAGUGAGGGCGGGAGGUGCGGCUUAUAUAAAGGGGUUACGUAAAGGGCUCAGCUGGCGCGAACACGUGGAGAGCCUAGAUGCCCAGUUCUCCCCCGAGAGCGACGCUGCCAUCACCCAUGCAGCUGCAGGCUGCGCCGCACGCCUGGCGCGGGCCACAGCCUCUCGCGCGGCUCCGUACCGGAGGCAGCCCCAGCCUGGAGCAGACCAUCCCCAGCCGGGGGUCUUAGGGGGGAAACGGGCUGCCCGGAAGUGGAAGGACGCCGGCCAGGUCACAAUCCAAGGUCCCGCUCCUCCGCGUCCCGGGGCCGGACGGAGGGAUGAGGCAGGGGGGACCCGGGCAGCGCCGUUGCUGCUCCCCCCACCGCCCGCAGCCAUGGAAACGGGGGAGGAGGACGGCGCCCGCAGAGGUACACAAAGCCCCGAGCGGAAAAGGCGAAGCCCAGUGCCGCGGGCGCUCAGCGCGAAGCUGAGGCCGGCGGCGGCGGCCCAGGCCAUGGAUCCGGUGGCGGCCGAGGCCCCGGGCGAGGCCUACCUGGCGCGGCGGCGGCCGGAGGGCGGCGGCGGGUCGGCGCGGCCGCGCUACAGCCUGUUGGCGGAGAUCGGGCGCGGCAGCUACGGUGUGGUUUACGAGGCAGUGGCCGGGCGCAGCGGGGCCCGGGUGGCGGUCAAGAAGAUCCGCUGCGACGCCCCCGAGAACGUGGAGCUGGCGCUGGCCGAAUUCUGGGCCCUGACCAGCCUCAAGCGGCGCCACCAGAACGUCGUGCAGUUUGAGGAGUGCGUCCUGCAGCGCAACGGGCUAGCUCAGCGCAUGAGCCACGGCAACAAGAGCUCGCAGCUUUACCUGCGCCUGGUGGAGACCUCGCUCAAAGGAGAAAGGAUCCUGGGUUAUGCCGAGGAGCCCUGCUAUCUCUGGUUUGUCAUGGAGUUCUGUGAAGGUGGAGACCUGAAUCAGUAUGUCCUGUCCCGGAGGCCGGACCCAGCCACCAACAAAAGCUUCAUGCUACAGCUCACCAGCGCCAUUGCCUUCCUGCACAAAAACCACAUCGUGCAUAGGGACCUAAAGCCAGACAACAUCCUCAUCACAGAGCGGUCUGGCACCCCCAUCCUCAAGGUGGCAGACUUUGGACUAAGCAAGGUCUGUGCUGGGCUGGCCCCCCGAGGGAAAGAGGGCAAUCAAGACAACAAAAAUGUGAAUGUGAAUAAAUACUGGCUGUCCUCAGCCUGCGGCUCAGACUUCUACAUGGCCCCUGAAGUCUGGGAGGGACACUACACAGCCAAGGCCGACAUCUUUGCCCUGGGCAUUAUCAUCUGGGCAAUGAUAGAAAGAAUCACUUUCAUUGACUCUGAGACCAAGAAGGAGCUCCUGGGGACCUAUAUCAAACAGGGGACUGAGAUCGUCCCCGUUGGUGAGGCGCUGCUAGAAAACCCAAAGAUGGAGUUGCACAUCCCCCAGAAACGCAGGACUUCCAUGUCUGAGGGGAUCAAGCAGCUCUUGAAAGAUAUGUUAGCUGCUAACCCACAGGACCGGCCUGAUGCCUUUGAACUUGAAACCAGAAUGGACCAGGUCACAUGUGCUGCUUAAAAUUCAGGGCAAAGCAUCUUGGGUGUUCUUAAAACUCGGUGUCCACUAGAACAGGCCCCCAGAAGGUUGAUCCUCGGGACCCACAGUCUCAUCAGAUCUCGCACAGAGGACGGCAGAGGGUACAGGUUGUGGCUUGGCCGGUUGGCGAUCUCCCAACAGCUGGGUCUCCAGCAAUGUGAAGCUUUUGUUUGGGUUUUCCCCCGCCUUUUAGUUGCUUAAUUUUUUUGUUGUUGUUCUUUUUUUUUUGUCUUUCCUUUUUUUUUUAUUUAAACAAUUAAGACUUCAGAAGAGCUACGCUGUGGACAGGCACCAGUUUCUUUAAAGAAACCCAAUAUGGACAACGCAUAUGUAUAAAUGUCAUUUUUAAUUUUUACAAGGGAUUAGGGAGCUGUUUUAUUUUUGUCCUUUAUUUUCCCUAUCUUCUUUCUUUUACCCAUCUCCUAGUUCUGCUUAUAACACCUCACUUCCCCAGGGAAGGUCUGCCUCUCCGUGUAGAAUUUGGGGAUCUCUCCUGGAAUAGGGGGCAAGAAGCCAGAAAGAGGCCUGUGUGCCGCCUCCCACCAGAUGCAGGAGCUGCCGGACUCCCUGAUGGGCGGUUCCUGGCUGGCCCUUGGGCCUUGUAGAUGAUCGGAAGCCAAGAACUACCUGGAAGGGGAAGACCAGGGCUCAGCCAGGAGAACUGGAGAAAGAAGAUCAAAACUGCGGGUUUGUCCUCCAUAAGCUGUUGGCAGCCCCAGGACACACCAGGACUUGCAGCGGUGGGACUCUGUUCCCUCUGCCGCCCUUUAUACCUGGGAGUUCUGAGAGGGGAGGGCCAGAAGGUGACCAUCUCGUACUUCCUGGCAGGUGGGUGGCCAGCCCACCCCAGCUCUACAAGCCUACCUUUCUGUUAGUGACCUUCCUCCUAGAGGACGAGUCCCAGGAAAAAACUGUCGUGCCAAACCUCUGCCCGGGACACAGCUGGGUCUUUGGUGGGUAUCUGUCACUCCUGUGAGGUCAGCACCCAUCACCUACUGCCUCCUGGAUCAUCGUCUUCCCAGGUGUGCCCACCAGACAUCCAGGUUGUCAGAGACCUCCCCCGAGUCCCUGUGAUCCGGUUGUGACCAUUGCCAUAAGAACAGGGUGUCCUGAAUGGCUACCACUGUCAUCUGCUCCCAGUGACAGGUGUGCCCUGUGUGCCGGGCCCCAUGCAGUGAUGGUGUCAGGCAUCGUCUUCCUCACCCCAGGGACUCACUGUUAGGCACCCCCCUCAGUGUAAAGGCGUCUCAUGGGGAAAGGGUGGACCUGCCCAGAGCAGGGAGCCUACCGUGCCCCUGAUCCCACCACCGUCUGUCUGUACAGCCUUUCUCCCGCCCUCCAGCACUGCUCCUGCAGCCCCCUCCUCCUGGGCCUCUCAAGUGGGGUGUCCUCGCCCCUCGCUCUCCCUUGUCACCCUUCCCUGGAAGCCCCUCGGCUACUCCAGAACCUCACCCGCCUCAUUGUGGCCACGCAGGAAAGGGGAAAGGCAUUCUUACUUUGUGUUUUGUUUCCUGUUUUCUCUAAACCAGCAUAGGAUGGAUAGGGGAGGUGCUCGAGGGCGUCUCAGUUGGUGUGUGACCAAGGGGGCUUCCCCUCAAAGCCACAGCCCUUCGCCUGGGGAGUUUGGGAGAGACCAGCACAGCGUCAGCCCAAACUCAUGGACUCAGCUGCUCACGUUCUUCCCGCCUGUUCACGCCCUCACAUCCCAAGGCCGCUUCCUCCUCCUGGGCAGACGGCUGGCUGUGGUUGGCAGCAUCCGGCAAGGCUGCAGGUGGUCGGCAGGCCCUUCCCUUCCCUCGGCCGAAGUCCUUUGUCAUCGCCUGUCUCUUCUCUCUCCUCUCUGACUUCUCAGCCACCCCUUGAGAGUCCCCUGAGCUGCAGCUGGGAGGCCGCACCCCAGAUCGCAGCAGGCGCUCCUUCCCUGCCCAUCUCCCUGCCCUCCCUGGGGCAGCCGUCCCUCUGCACGUGGGAGAACGGUCCCCAGACUUGGCACCCGCAACUCUCUCUGGCCGCAGCCCUCGCUCUGAGGACCUAAUGAGGGUUCAGGCCUAACAGGUUUUUUGCCUUUUGCUCGUCUUUCCCUUCUGCCCUCCCCCGGUCUCUUCACCCUGCCUAAGGCCUUGGAGCUGUAGGUCACAGGUGUCCAUACCUUUUGGGUGAGGUGGGCAGCCUGGGUCGAGGUCACGGCCUCCAUGUACCCUCAUCUUGUAGGACUUCCAGCCCAUCCCUGCUUCGUGGAAGACCCCUGUCCCUCGUUACCCCAAGUGCCUGACUCCUGCCACCCCUGCUUUCCACUUCGUCUGCCUUGGGCGCCCUGUGGCCGGCCAGAUGUCAGCUCUGUCAGCCCGCCUCUGCCCAGCUCGGGCGAGCCUUGGUUAGACCCCGGAAGCCUCUCCCUCAGCCCGUCUUCAUCUCUUCCCGCCUUUUAUCGUCUCCACCUGGGUCUUGGGCCUGGCAGCCGCUCUGGGGCACAGCAUCUCAGUGCCACCAAGUCUGUUAGUGCCGUCCAAGUUCUAGGAGUGUCCAGCCCUCAUUAGCAGUCAGUUAUUCUCUUCUUGGAUCUGUGAAAAACAUAGCCAGUUGGAGGGAGGAUCUGGGCCACAGCCAUACGGACCUGAGCUCUGUCUCCCCUCAGUGAGAGGAAUCAGGAAUCAGCCGGACAGAUCAUAGUGCCUUAUUCCACCCCCACACCCCAGCCCGGACCGGACUGCCCAGCCCAGCUGGAAGUCCACGGCUUCCUUCUCCCUGUCUCUGUCCAUCUGUCGUUUAAACUCUCACUCCCACUCACAGAUAGCCACCUGGGAAGGAUUCCCCCCCGUCCCUCAUCCCUUCCUGAGAGCUGUAGCCAGGCACACGGCUCCCCACCCAGCCCAGGGCUCUCAGCAGCAGCUUUCGCUGAGGACAGAACUGUGCUUCAGACAGGGGUGCUCUCGGCCUCCUUCCAGCCCGCAGGUCCCCCGCCUCUUACCUCUAGCCCAGAGGAUGCACAGUCUCUGCCUUUGAGACCAGCUCCAUCGGACUCCUCCUGGGCACCGGGACUAGGGUCGCAGGCCUUAGCCUCCUCUCAUCCCAGAAGCAGUAAGACAGAGAACGGGAAUUCCUUCUUCUCACUCGGAUGUGGUUUGCGCCCCACGGCUGCCUUUCCGAGGGAGUGUAUUCAAUGUUACUUAAGAAAUACCCUGUUUACAGCUGGAGGAGAAACGUACCCAAUGCUGGGUGGAGAUUUAAUCCCUGGAGGGGGCCUGGCCUACUUCAUGGCACUGCCGGUGGUGACCCCAGAGUGAGUGAAGGCAGGGGGCCGGGGCGCUGGCCCUGCGCCCCGUCUGCCCCCGAUCCUGCGGUGCUAAGACCACCUUCCUCACGGCCUUCCUGCCCUUGGACAUUCCCCGCCUCCCUCGUUCCCUUCCUCCAAGCGUCUUGGCUCCUUAACAUAGCAGUUAUCGCCUAGAAAACCAGUGUUUGGAGCAAUAAGAUUAUUAUUAUUUUUUGCUUGAGUCUUUUUCUAAGAAAAGGAGAAGAGCUGGCAUUGUGGGAAUCUUUCUUUUUUUGCUGUUGGCUGUUUACCUUUUCAGAAGACAGAUCUUACUUGGGUGGAUGUCUGGGUUUCAGCCUCGGGGUAUCUUCAGGAAGCUUAGAGAGGCAGGGCCUCCCCCCCUAACUGCCCCUGCCCUGCUCCGCACUGCCUGGGCUCCCAGCCCUGCCCACCAAGCGCUCCGCUCUCCCUGCCUACCUGCGGGGCACUGGUGGCUCUGCCUCCGAGUGGGGCUCUUGGGUUCUUGAUCCUUUCCUCACCCUGGGCCUGUCUGGUGGCCCCCAGACAGGCAUUGCCGCUGGAGUCUCCUAGGACCUGGCGACCUGAGAAGAACGUGCUCUGUGGGCCCCAGGCCUGGGGCUGAGGCACAGCCUUGUAGACAUCCUGGGCCGUCUCUGAUCCUGCCCUGCCCAGGCCUAGAGGGCAGGGGCUCCUGUCUGGAGAGAGACCCUGGAUGGGGGGGUCAGGGACUGGGAGUGUGCCGUGAGAUCAGCUCGUGUCAGCAUCCACAGCGGUCAAGGGAUGAGUCCACUGCCCUCGGUUCCCAGAGCCCCCAGGACAGCAGCGGAGGUGGGAAGGAGGCCCCGUGUCUUUCCCAUGAGAGGCCACAGGAGGAAGGGAGUUUAUUUAGGGUCGUUUUAAAGCAAUCUUUUUGUGCUCCAGGCGCCUCUCCAUUAGGGCAGAGGAGUUUGUUGCAAUGAUUUAACACUCAUGUGGGGCCAGCUUGGGUGUGAGGGAGGAUUUGACCCAGGCACAGAGUUAGUUACAAAGACUAGUUAAUAAAUCUAUUUUUCUUUAUUUUCUUUUUUUGCACAGAAGCUGGUAAUCUAGGACCUACGUGUGAACAACUUUAUAUAUGAAUAUUUUUUGUACUUGGUUUACUUGGGUUGGUAUGAUACAUUAUAUUUAAGUUCCUUGAACACUGUGGAUCCCCCUAAUGUGUAUGAAUGACUGAGGCUUUGUAAAUUAAGGGACGUUUGUGUGAAUAAAGUUAUUUGAUGGGGUCAAAGAAGCCAUACGUGAUUUGAAAA